RNAcentral lists this ribosomal RNA (268 nucleotides) under uncultured bacterium. RNAcentral's name for it is "partial 16S ribosomal RNA". It matches the Rfam family "Bacterial small subunit ribosomal RNA", at positions 76 to 339 of the family's 1533-position model. The record is from RNAcentral.
AAGCUUGCUUUUGGACAUACUUAGUGGCGGACGGGUGAGUAAUGCAUGAGCAACCUGCCUUCAAGAGGGGGAUAACACAUGGAAACGUGUGCUAAUACCGCAUAGACGUACGGACGGCAUCGUUUGUACGGGAAAGGAGCAAUCCGCUUGAAGAUGGGCUCAUGUCCGAUUAGGUUGUUGGUGAGGUAACGGCUCACCAAGCCUGCGAUCGGUAGCCGGACUGAGAGGUUGAACGGCCACAUUGGAACUGAGAUACGGUCCAGACUCC